GGGGGCGUACCUGGUUUCGACGGGGAUCGCAGGGGGCUGGAUAAGCGAGCCGCAGCUGUCUGAGACUGCGAUAAAACUCGGGCAAAAAAACAAACGCAAACAAUAACGAAUACGCUCUCGCGGCUUAAGGCCGUGAGCGUCCCACCGCUUCCUCCCGCUUGAGGCGGAGCGGGGCGUCAAAAUAAGCGGGGAACCAGCCCGGUCAAGCUUUGUGCCGGGUGGGACUCGAUGAAGCUACCGAAGCGCUGACCCUGCG
RNAcentral lists this transfer-messenger RNA (256 nucleotides) under Clostridiales bacterium. Its description in RNAcentral is "partial transfer-messenger RNA". It matches the Rfam family "transfer-messenger RNA", at positions 1 to 277 of the family's 374-position model. Rfam says of the family: Bacterial tmRNA, also known as 10Sa RNA or SsrA, is named for its dual tRNA and mRNA-like properties. Its role is to liberate the mRNA from a stalled ribosome. To accomplish this part of the tmRNA is used as a reading frame that ends in a translation stop signal. The record is from RNAcentral. Lineage: Bacteria; Bacillati; Bacillota; Clostridia; Eubacteriales.